UACGUAGGGAGCAAGCGUUGUCCGGAAUCAUUGGGCGUAAAGCGCGCGUAGGCGGCCCGAUAAGUCCGCUGUAAAAGUCAACGGCUCAACUGUUGAAAGCCGGUGGAUACUGUCGGGCUAGAGUACGGAAGAGGCAAGUGGAAUUCCAGGUGUAGCGGUGAAAUGCGUAGAUAUCUGGAGGAACACCGGUGGCGAAGGCGGCAUCCUGGACCAACACUGACGCUGAGUGAGCGAAAGCCAGGGGAGCAAACGGG
Molecule: ribosomal RNA, 254 nt
Filed under: uncultured bacterium
Lineage: Bacteria
Description: partial 16S ribosomal RNA
Rfam family: Bacterial small subunit ribosomal RNA
Source: RNAcentral